RNAcentral lists this unclassified non-coding RNA (391 nucleotides) under fungal sp. RNAcentral's name for it is "partial internal transcribed spacer region". The stretch from base 1 to 46 matches the Rfam family "Eukaryotic small subunit ribosomal RNA", at positions 1786 to 1831 of the family's 1831-position model. The record is from RNAcentral. Lineage: Eukaryota; Fungi.
AAGUCGUAACAAGGUUUCCGUAGGUGAACCUGCGGAAGGAUCAUUAACACGUAUCCAACGUAAAAAACCCCCCUGUGAACAUUCAAACCUGCUCUCGUAGCCCAGUGCGAUCCAGCAAUCCCGGUAAAUCAUUGUCGAACAGUAUUGAUUCGGGACUUCUGACAAAUGAGAAGUUACAGUUACGAUUGAGCGGAGAUAGCUGCAUGGCAUCCCGAAGCAGUCAGUGUCUGAAAGUGUCAUUGAUUGUCUAAGGAUCUCGCCUCAACGAUUGCCAGAGGUCGCUCACCGACCGGCAGACAUGCACCUUUACAACCCCAUUACCUCUGUGAGUCGCGGGAAACUAGCGCUAAAAAACCUCGAACAACUGUUAACAAUGGAUAUCUUGGUUCUC